This 1217-nucleotide long non-coding RNA is filed under the name Equus asinus (donkey). Its description in RNAcentral is "lncRNA (ENSEASG00005036602.1)". The record is from RNAcentral. Lineage: Eukaryota; Metazoa; Chordata; Mammalia; Perissodactyla; Equidae.
GCAGGUUCCGAUCUCGAGCCAGGGGCCUGGGACCAGGGUGGGGGUGGGGCCCACACGGGGCCUCCAGGAGGUGGGACUGUCAGGGCGGUCAGAGUGUCGGCCAAAACGGGAGGUCAGAGCCAAAGAGAACGUGGAGCGGGAGGUCUGGGGAGUUCUCCCCUUGGUGGACUCCUGAACUUCCCCGGGAUGGAGGACGGGGGUCAAGUCAACCUCGUGGGAUCUGAGGGAGCCGAGAACUCAGGCCAUCCUGGGGUUGUAGGGGGACAGGAAAUACUCAUAUCUUCCGUGUCGGUGGGCUGGUGGGGGAGGCCCGGAGACACCUGCCCCCAAGAAGCCCAGGGCACCUGCAGUUUGGGGCAGGAAAUGGCCUGAGUCCCUUUCACGGCACCAGCAUCCAGGGGCGCCCCUUUGCUGGUACAUCCGGGUGACGGGAUCCCACACUGCCACCCCUUCCCUCUUCAACCAGCCCUGACUGGCACGCCACUCUCCAUCCGAGCCAAAGCCUGCCCGGUCUGCAGCUACCCCUCGUCAGCCUGUGUUCUGACAGCACCCAAAGCCCUGCCAGCAUGAGCCCCCACCGCUUGGCAGAAACGCCACACGUCACCUCUCACCUAGCAGGAGGGAAACCGAGGCACAGAGAGCCGAGGGCCGGAGACUUCUCUGACAACUCGCAGGCUACCCUACAGCUCAGCCUCAGAAUGUUACCUGCCUCAUGGCAUCUUCAGCCAGGUGUUCCGAUGGCUUCGUGAGCUCAACGUGUCCAGAAAGGAUCGCCUGUCCGCCCCUAUGCCCACCACGCUAGGCUGGAUAACAGCCCCCAAAGACAUCCCGGUCCCUGGAACGGACGCCUUCCUUCCCUUAUACGGCCAAAGGGACUUUGCAGGUGUGACUAAGCUAAGGAUUUGGAGAUGGAUUAUCUGAGGGCCAAUUAGUCACAAGGGACCUUAGGAGAGGGAGGCAGGAGGCUCAGAGUCGAGACAGAAGCAACCAGGACAAAAGUCAGAGAAGAGAGGAUGCUAUGCUGCUGGCUGUGCAGACGGAGGAAGGGGCCACGAGCCGAGGGAUGCGGGCAGCUUCUAGCAGCUGGAAAAGGCCAGGGAAGGGAUUCUCCCCAGAGCCUCCAGGGGACACCAGCCCUGCCCACACCAUGACUUUGGCCCACUGAGACCCGUUUCUGACCUCCAGAGCUACAGGAGAAUAAAUCUGCGUUGUUUGAA